Molecule: long non-coding RNA, 215 nt
Filed under: Elaeis guineensis (African oil palm)
Lineage: Eukaryota; Viridiplantae; Streptophyta; Magnoliopsida; Arecales; Arecaceae
Description: long non-coding RNA (EGUI_LNC015357)
Source: RNAcentral
GGCCGACUGGAGAAAUUCUUCUACCAUAUUUGUAGGACUUUAUAGAAAAAUCCUUCUGCUAUAUUUAUAGGGCCUUUUAGGAAAAUUCUCUUACUAUGUUUGUAGGUCUUCUAGAAAAAUCAUCCUACUAUAUUUGUAGGGUCUUCUAGAGAAAUCAAAUUUAUUUCUAAUAAAGACGACCUCUGAUCUUCCCCAUACAAACAUAUUCCUAUGCC